GAUUCAAUUAAAACAAAGCAUUGCGAUGGCCCUCGCGGAUGUUGACGCAAUGUGAUUUCUGCCCAGUGCUCUGAAUGUCAACGUGAAGAAAUUCAAGCAAGCGUGGGCAAACGGCGGGAGUAACUAUGAUUCUCUUAAGAGAAAGCAUAGUUGGGA
Molecule: non-coding RNA, 156 nt
Filed under: Lasius niger
Lineage: Eukaryota; Metazoa; Arthropoda; Insecta; Hymenoptera; Formicidae
Description: Eukaryotic large subunit ribosomal RNA
Rfam family: Eukaryotic large subunit ribosomal RNA
Source: Rfam by way of RNAcentral